GACGAACGCUGGCGGCGUGCUUAACACAUGCAAGUCGAACGGAAAGGCCCUGCUUUUGUGGGGUGCUCGAGUGGCGAACGGGUGAGUAACACGUGAGUAACCUGCCCUUGACUUUGGGAUAACUUCAGGAAACUGGGGCUAAUACCGGAUAGGAGCUCCUGCUGCAUGGUGGGGGUUGGAAAGUUUCGGCGGUUGGGGAUGGACUCGCGGCUUAUCAGCUUGUUGGUGGGGUAGUGGCUGACCAAGGCGUUGACGGGUAGCCGGCCUGAGAGGGUGACCGGCCACAUUGGGACUGAGAUACGGCCCAGACUGCUACGGGAGGCAGCAGUGGGGAAUAUUGCACAAUGGGCGGAAGCCUGAUGCAGCAGCGCCGCGGGCGGGAUGACGGCCUUCGGGUUGUAAACAGCUUUCGGCUGUGACGAAGCGUGAGUGACGGUAAUGGGUAAAGAAGCACCGGCUAACUACGUG
This 468-nucleotide ribosomal RNA is filed under the name uncultured bacterium. RNAcentral's name for it is "partial 16S ribosomal RNA". It matches the Rfam family "Bacterial small subunit ribosomal RNA", at positions 28 to 507 of the family's 1533-position model. The record is from RNAcentral.